GUGUCACAGUGGUAUAUAUACUCACAGAGUCUGUCCUGGUUCCUCCUAAAUUACAUGACAGCUUGCAAAGGGCAGGCUCCUACCGGUCUGCCUCCAGGACCGACCUCAAAAGAUUUCUCUCUGAAAGGAGCCGGGAGGAUCUACACAAUGCAUGAGAAAGGCUUUUUCAGGAGCAGCUGUCCUAGCACAAGAGAGGGGAAGGAGUUAGGGCGGCUGCCGCGUAUCUGGGCUGGAACGCGAGGUUGAGUGUUUCAUCAGCAUCCGAGAAUGUAGGGCAGCAGGGAAGAUCCUCCCGUUUCCCCAGCCUGUGUGUGAAUUUUCUACAGGACUCAAGGCCUCUGCCCAGUGCUCCUCAGCGAGCAGAAAGCAGUCAUUUGGGGAAAUAAUGGAGGUGGAAGAGCCUCAUCACUCCUUGAAGGAAGGAAUAAGCAGCUUGGCUAUGAUCAAAGAACAUGUCCUCAUUCAAACCUAGAGUCCCUGAGCCUCAAACCUGAGGUCAAUCCUCUGCCUCCCAGCUUAUAAAUGGGGGGCCCAUAUAUCCAGCUGAAGAAUGCAGUGCUCUUUGGAGGGCAGCAUGGCAGCUGGUUCCCCAUGUGCCCUUCAAAGCAGAGAGAACCACUAAGGAGGCUGGGAGAAAUGGCUGCAGACCACUGCAAAACAGCCCCAUGUCUGCAAGUGACAAGUGGUUUUAAUGUGCUCGGUGGCCUACAUUCAAAUCUGGGCUUAAAAAGCCCAGCUUCUCCUGAAGCCAAAGUUCAGUGUAAUGGAAAACUUUGCUAA
This 780-nucleotide long non-coding RNA is filed under the name Struthio camelus australis. RNAcentral's name for it is "lncRNA (ENSSCUG00000012334.1)". Lineage: Eukaryota; Metazoa; Chordata; Aves; Struthioniformes; Struthionidae. The record is from RNAcentral.